AUCAUUCACAAUGGGGGAAACCCUGAUGCAGCAACGCCGCGUGAAGGAAGACGGUUUUCGGAUUGUAAACUUCUAUCAAUAGGGAAGAAACAAAUGACGGUACCUGAGGAAUAAGCCACGGCUAACUACGUGCCAGCAGCCGCGGUAAUACGUAGGUGGCGAGCGUUAUCCGGAUUUACUGGGUGUAAAGGGCGUGUAGGCGGGAUUGCAAGUCAGACGUGAAAACUAUGGGCUCAACCCAUAGCCUGCGUUUGAAACUGUAGUUCUUGAGUGCUGGAGAGGCAAUCGGAAUUCCGUGUGUAGCGGUGAAAUGCGUAGAUAUACGGAGGAACACCAGUGGCGAAGGCGGAUUGCUGGACAGUAACUGACGCUGAGGCGCGAAAGCGUGGGGAGCAAACA
This 399-nucleotide ribosomal RNA is filed under the name uncultured bacterium. RNAcentral describes it as "bacterial SSU rRNA". It matches the Rfam family "Bacterial small subunit ribosomal RNA", at positions 361 to 774 of the family's 1533-position model. The record is from RNAcentral.